Long non-coding RNA from Tripterygium wilfordii, 555 nucleotides. RefSeq lists it as uncharacterized. The record is from RefSeq and is a predicted model, not a curated record. NCBI's taxonomy places the organism in Eukaryota, Viridiplantae, Streptophyta, Magnoliopsida, Celastrales, Celastraceae. The transcript is spliced from 2 exons.
CUUCUAAGUGGCUGAUUGUCUGAAGUUUGUUUCAGCUUUACUCUGUGAGUUUGUGAUGUUUAUAGUGUCAUCUUGCAAUGUUUGAGAACAUAUGAAGCUAUAUAAUCAAAAUGCCCCUUGGGGUAAAGAGAGAAUGUUGAAUGAAACAUUUCUCAAAUAAUAGUCUUUCGUUUAUAUAAAAAGGGUGCGUCGAGAAGCUAUCAUCAAGACGAGUAGAUAAACAACGAAAAGGAUAUAUUUUUUCUUACACAUCAACGGCUUGUCAGUCCACGAAAUAAAACCUCAUAAUCUAUUUUACCAGCAGUCCUGCUACAUCAUUUUUGUCUGUGUGCAAAGAAUGUCCUUUGGAGCAACAAUGCAGCUUCUUCUAGGGAAAGUUUGGCAUGUAGAAAUGAUGUAAUUUAGCUUCUUUCAAUGAGAGUGAAUUGGGGAAUAAAAAUAAAUAGUCUUUCUGUGCAGCCCUUUUCUUUUCUUUCUUUGGAAGGUGGUUCCAAUGUUGCUGAUUACGAACCAUGUAAUAUCAGUUCAGUAAAAUGGCAUAAAAAUUAGCAGAAA